GAAGGUAUAGCUCAGUGGUAGAGUGUGUGCUUAGCAUGUAUGAGGUCCUGGGUUCAAUCCCAAGUACCUCCA
Molecule: transfer RNA, 72 nt
Filed under: Camelus ferus (Wild Bactrian camel)
Lineage: Eukaryota; Metazoa; Chordata; Mammalia; Artiodactyla; Camelidae
Rfam family: tRNA
About the family: Transfer RNA (tRNA) molecules are approximately 80 nucleotides in length. Their secondary structure includes four short double-helical elements and three loops (D, anti-codon, and T loops). Further hydrogen bonds mediate the characteristic L-shaped molecular structure. tRNAs have two regions of fundamental functional importance: the anti-codon, which is responsible for specific mRNA codon recognition, and the 3' end, to which the tRNAs corresponding amino acid is attached (by aminoacyl-tRNA synthetases). tRNAs cope with the degeneracy of the genetic code in two manners: having more than one tRNA (with a specific anti-codon) for a particular amino acid; and 'wobble' base-pairing, i.e. permitting non-standard base-pairing at the 3rd anti-codon position.
Source: Rfam by way of RNAcentral